GAUGAGCAUGCGUCCCAUUAGCUAGUUGGUAAGGUAACGGCUUACCAAGGCAACGAUGGGUAGGGGUCCUGAGAGGGAGAUCCCCCACACUGGUACUGAGACACGGACCAGACUCCUACGGGAGGCAGCAGUGAGGAAUAUUGGUCAAUGGGCGCAAGCCUGAACCAGCCAUGCCGCGUGCAGGAUGAAGCGUCUAUGGUGUGUAAACUGCUUUUGUACGAGAAGAAACACUACUUCGUGAAGUAGCUUGACGGUAUCGUAAGAAUAAGGACCGGCUAACUCCGUGCCAGCAGCCGCGGUAAUACGGAGGGUCCAAGCGUUAUCCGGAAUCAUUGGGUUUAAAGGGUCCGUAGGCGGUUUUGUAAGCCAGUGGUGAAAGCCCAUCGCUCAACGGUGGAACGGCCAUUGAUACUGCAAGACUUGAAUUAUUAGGAAGUAACUAGAAUAUGUAGUGUAGCGGUGAAAUGCUUAGAUAUUACAUGGAAUACCAAUUGCGAAGGCAGGUUACUACUAAUGGAUUGACGCUGAU
RNAcentral lists this ribosomal RNA (529 nucleotides) under uncultured Bacteroidota bacterium. RNAcentral's name for it is "bacterial SSU rRNA". It matches the Rfam family "Bacterial small subunit ribosomal RNA", at positions 224 to 750 of the family's 1533-position model. The record is from RNAcentral. Lineage: Bacteria; Pseudomonadati; Bacteroidota.